This 2150-nucleotide unclassified non-coding RNA is filed under the name Leishmania donovani. RNAcentral's name for it is "gene:LdHU3.36.6710(CDS-product:hypothetical_prote in_conserved)". Lineage: Eukaryota; Euglenozoa; Kinetoplastea; Trypanosomatida; Trypanosomatidae. The record is from RNAcentral.
CCCGCCUCUUUCUUUUCGCUUGCUCAGCCGCAAUGUCGUUGAUGCGGUCGUGCGUGCGUCUCCAACAAACCGCGCUGGAGGUUUCUACGCUUCACCGACUGCUGCGGCACUGCGCACGUCACCCUGAGCGCUUCGAGUUGGCGGAAAUGUAUAAGCUUGGCAUCCUUCUGAAGGAUUCAAACGACGCACUGGCGUUGAGCUCAAACAAGGAGCUCUUGAAGAGCUUGGCGAGCCGCUACGCGCAGAUCCGCGAAAAUGCAUCGCCUUUUCAAAAAUCCUUGUUGGACGCGGUACUGCCUCGCUCGCAGUCUGUGUCGACGUCGAGGAGCAGUGCGGCAGGGGCUGGUGCAGCGGAGGCGCAGCUAACCACGGGAUCGCCGAGUGCACCAGACGGUGCCCUGCCGGUGACGGCGCAUGAGUACUUCAAGGCGAUCAUGGAACUGGCGAAGGACGCGGAGGCGGAGCACUACCGUGCCGUUGCCCGCGAGGCGCGCGCAUCAUCGCGCGGCCCGCUGCACGACGCGAGCGUGGACAUGCAAGAAGGCGUGUCUCCCGGACGAAGCGGGACCGCAGCGCCUGCACCGUCUCGGAGUGAUGACACGAGCGCAGCGGGCCUCGGUGAAGCGCUCGGAAGUAGCCGCACAGAAGUGUUGGAAGCUCACCUCACCGCCCUUGAGCCGAACCUUCGUCAACUGUCGCCGGCAGAGACGUGCCACCUCAUCAAAACCCUAGCAAAGUUCAACUACACAAACUACGAGCACGCUGUGCUCCUGACGCGUCGCGGAUGUGAAAUCUCUGGACAACUAAAGUGCCGUGAGCUGUGUCAGCUCUUCUUCAACCUGCAUAAACUGCACACGCGGGACUCCUUGGUCGCCAUCGUGAACCAUCUUCUCGAGCACACAACGGAGAUGACGGCCGACGACGUGUUUUUGCUCUCUCAGGCGCUCGAACGGCAGGAGAACACGUCGUCGGCGUCGCAGCGCCUCUUGGCACCGUUGGUGGCGCAGGCCAUCAAGAAACUGCCCGAUGCCCCCUCUGCAGCAUACCAUCGUGCCCUCCUAGUGUCCAUGGCGCGCUAUAAUGUGGCGCACCGUGCUACUUUGCAAGUGGUGCUCCGGGACUGGGUAGAGCACUGGAAGGCGACGACCUCAGAGCGGGAUUUGCUGAAAAUGUUCGAGGCCGCCGCGUCGCUCAUGUCGGCCGCGAAGUUGGAGGGAUUGCAGCAGCUGGUGGAGCGCCUCACGGAACUGGCGCCGACGAUGGAUGUGUGCCUCAUGGACCGUGCCAUGGACCUUCUAUCCAUGGUACCAAUGGACAUGAGUACCAAGUGCAUGAUGUCCAUCUUGGCGAGGCUUGUUGGCGAGGCAGGUCACUUGAGCGUUCGACAAGUCGUCUUCAUCCUGCAGCUGCUCUCCACCUACCCACCAGCCAAGGGACACACGGCGGUGGUGUCGAUGGCCUACGCGGCGUCCAUUCGUGCCCCUUCCAUGGACACCGAGUCACUUGAGAGUGUCGUCAUAUCGCUCGCCAUGCUGCAGCUCUACACGGACGACUUCUUCACCAUUGCUCACGUGCUGCAGGCGCAGAAGGGUGGCAUGCGCAGCUUUGCGGCUGUACAGGAGCUGCUGCGGCACUGCACAUCGGAGAUGGCCGCCACCGAGCGUGGUCUCGGUAUGCUGGCCAACGUCAUUUGUACUGUGGCUCCGAUGCUGAACGAUGAAGAGCUUGCCUCUUGUCGCCGCGCGCUGGUGAACUUGGGGGUGCAGGACCGCAACGUGUUGCAGGGCAUCUUUGCAAGGGCUAAGAAGCUUCACCGCACUCAGUCCACCGGCCACGCACGCAAGAAGCGCCUUGGCAGCUAUGAUCCAAUGGCAGACCUGCUCUGAGCAAAGGCGAAAAGUAUGUGCGCCAUGGGUUAAUGCGGAGGCGCAGAAGGGAAGCGCCAAAAGGAGAGAAGCAAUAGAGGAACUGCGUCUGUAUGUGUGUGUGUGUAUGUGUGUGCGUGGGUCGGCUUGCGUGGCUCUCGUGUGUGUUCCCUAGCCCGUUUUCGUUGAGAUGAUGCGGCUGCCGGUUGUGGAGUGCAUAUUCAGUCGCGCUAGUGCUCGUCGUCUAUCUUUCUCAUGCCUUGCUUGUUAUCUUCCGGCGUAGAC